Molecule: long non-coding RNA, 2103 nt
Organism: Alligator sinensis (Chinese alligator)
Lineage: Eukaryota; Metazoa; Chordata; Crocodylia; Alligatoridae
Exons: 7
Source: RefSeq, a predicted model, not a curated record
UGCAGAGUACAGUUGGUUCAAUUCAAUGUCAGAGGCAAGGGAAUGACUUGUCUGUGCUGAAAAGGCAUGGAAGAAUAGUGGUGAGCAGACUGAAUGGCAGAGGAAAGAAUGCAGGUGAAAGUGUGGGCUAAGAGCUGCAGGAGGGCAGAGAUGGAUCUUCGGAUUACAUACAAUAUUUUGAUAUAGGAAAAUUAAAAGAACUGUUCUCCAUUUUCUUCUUGCUGCUGAGCCAGCCAGCAAAACAGUAGUUCUCAUCUUGCACUUGUAUUAUGAUAAGAUUCCAGAAAAAAUGGAAGAUGGACAUGUGACAGUAGAGAAGUGACUAAGGAUUCACUUUGUUGAGUCUUCUUAAUCUGCCAUCCUACUGCUCGUGUCUAUUUGUUGCUAGCAAGAAGACAAGAAGUCUGAUCUGCAUCUUGCAAUGUGAUCUACCUGCAACUAGGACAUAAAUUCUUGUUCUGAUAUGGAGAAAGUAGUUCCAGAGGGCCAAAGAGAUGAACUGUCCCUAUCCAGUCAGAUUGAGGGUCAUUGGCUUUGACAACACUGCCAAGUAAGUGGAAUCAUAAGAAGUCAUAGAUAUGAGAAAUGGAAAAGAUGGAUUUAUCAAAUCACCUCAUGAAUCUCAUUGCCAAUCCUGGAUUGUUUCCUCCAAGAUGUUAGGAUGUUUUCUAGUGUUUUGUUCAGGAGAAGAGAAGAUAGAGGAGAAGGUGGCCAACAAGAAGGCUGUCUGAAGAGACCCACCCAGAGCUACCUGGAAGAUGGUCAUCUCAGGCUCCAGGACAUGCAUGGCUAGGGCUGCCUCUCCCCCGACAUUGCAGAACAGGUAUGCUCCCCACACCAUGCAUGAGGAGACUCCGAUGGAGACACCACAGGAGGAGUUGCAAGCCAUGAACCUAGGAGGGAAGGAUGCAAUGAAGAAAUGAACUAAUGACUCCAGCAGUGGUACUACAGAGGUGGUUUUGGUUUAUUCAACCACAAUGCACACUUCAGGGAGAAAGGAGUCCUGGGAAGGGACAGCAUCCAACUCACAUGGAGGGUGCUUAUAGCCUUAUGAUCAGUAGGAAUCUUGACCUUCAGACUGAACUGACUAACAGAGUCAGAAAAGCAGUGAAGAACUUCAGGCUAUAGCAGAAACGUGUGUAGAAUAACAGCAAACUACCAUCUAAGGUGAAGAUGUGAAUCUAUGAGACUUGCAUGCUUUCCCCCCCACUUUAUGGUUCAGAAAUAUGGACUACAUACGCUAGACACAUCAAGAAACUGAACAGCUUCCACACAAGAUACCUGUGUGAGAUCCUGAAAAUAAAGUGGGAUUACAAAAUACCAAAGACAGAGGUGCCGGAGCAUGAAGGACUGACACACUUAGAAACCACUAUCAAGAAAAGGAGGUUGCAAUGGCUCAGCCAUAUCAGGAGAAUGGGAGGAGAAUGUAUCCCCCAGAAUAUUUUGUACAGUGAGACUCAAGACAAUUCUAGAAAGUGGGGUCACCCUCAGUGGGAGUACCACAACAUUCCCAAAUUGAUAUGAAGUCUUUCAACAUCAAUGUAGAAAGCUGGGAGGAGCAGGUAGAAUCCUGUCUGAUCUAGAGGGAACGUCUAGCACUGGGUGCAGCACAACAUGAAGAGGCUUUGAUCCAGAGUAUGGAAGCAAAGAAAGCUGCAUGCUGUAAACUUGGACUCCAACUCAGACAACGCAUGGAUCUGUGAAACUUGUAAUAAGUGGUGUCACACUCAAAUUGGGCUUGUCAGCCACAAGUGGAUUUAUCAGGCACCAGAGGAUCGACACUUCCCUACAUAGCAUUACAGUGUUUUUCAGAAUAUAUUAGUAGUAAAUAAAUUAUUGUCUGUUCUAAUUUUAAAUAACAGAAUAUGUGACAUUAUCUAAGGUAUAUCUUGGGAAAUGUACAGCAUAGUAAAUCUGAAAAAAAAGAAAAGUGAUAUAUUCUUUCAGUAUUAUAAUUAUUAUAUGAAGACAUUAAUAAACUAAUUGUUUAAACCUCUUAAGAACUGAAGUCUUCACAUUGGGGGCAACCUAAAAUGUUAAUACAUAAUUUUAAUAGGACAUAAUGAUUGUUUCAGAAAUUGCUAAGAUACAUACUACUCGUAC